GUGCCGCUAAUGGCUCUUCAUUAAUUCGAGGUUUCAUUGUUCUUUUUUUUUAGCGCCAUUAUGGCAACUCUUCAAUCAGAUCACAUCACAACAAAUAACAGUUCAAAUACGCCUAAGUGGAUUUUUUAUGAAUAAGAGUACCUACUAAUAUAGUGGGCAAGCGGUAAUGAGAGGGGAUUUAAGCCGCUGUCAGUGGAAGUAAAAUGAAAGGCAGUAAGUCAACAAAAGCGUUGGUUUACUAAACAAAACACGUUUCACACAUCCGCGUGCUCGAGCGCGUGCGCUGGUGUCGGCCGACAAACCACAGCUUUGUCUAUAAGAAAUGAAGAAUAUAGGAGAAAAAGCAAGUGAAAAGAAGCCAGGCGGUGUAUUGAAAUGUUAUCGGUAAACAAAAUAACUGUGGUGAAUCAUACUCCUACAUAAGAUUUACUUCCUCAAAUAGGCGUAGCCAUAAUGCACAUUUGUAUAUAAUUUUUUGCCAUAAAGGCACGAACUUUUCUACUUUGCUGCAAUGCCUUACUAGAAGACAGCAACCAAGAACGUCACAAACGCUACGAAUCGGAAGCGACUAAGGGGCGCGAAGAUAUUUAUGAAAUACAUACAUGCAGUUCAAGCAAUAACAAUUGGUCACCUAUAUAAACACCAAUCAUAGUUUUUUAAUGACGAUCAUGGGACAUAGUCGUUGAAUUUCAAAUAUUUUCUGUGCGCAUCUAACAAACCUUAUCUACUGAAAUACUGAAAGAUAAAUUUGCCCAACCAGCAAUUGGAAGAGCAAAAAAAACAGAGAGAUUAACACAUGAGAAAAAGGGCGUGUAAGGAAGAGCUCAAUAAAAGAGGAGACGAAAAAAUCCUUAAAAAUAACCAAUACAUAUGUUAGUACAUGAGUACAUAUACACUUAUAUACGUACUUGCUGUUUGCAACAAGAGAGACUAAGAAACAUGCGCGGAGAGGCAUCAGCUCUGAUAAUAAACAUAUAUUCGUCACGCAAACCAGGUAAUGGACACAUUUACUUGUUUUUGCCUAUUAGCUAUACGGAUUUUUCGCUCUAAACAAUACGAUAGGAAUGAUUUUAAAUAUCACUCUAUACCGAGGAUAGUGGAUAGCAAUAUAUUUUAAAUUUUCGAUUUGUAAUUUUUAUAUAUAAAAUGCUCAACUGUAUUUAAAAUGUUUACGCAUAUUUAUGAACUUACCAUAACAUAUUCGUUAAUCCUUUAUUGUAUAGUUCGGAGCAUUUAUUUGAAGAUACAAGUAGCUCUUUUAAUUUUCUUCCGAAAUUCCUCACGUCAAACUUGUUAUUUCAACAUAAGGGAGCUAAAACGAACCCUUGAAAUACUUUUUACACCAAUCACUACACAAAUAAUUGAUUUAGCUUUCAUCACAAAUUUUUCGUUUGAAACACCUUUGUGCAAAUAUCAAUUUUCACACUUUUUCAUAUUUAGUAUUUCUAUUUUAUCACUGAAUUGGUAUCCUUUUCACUUUUUGAUAUAAGUUAAUAAUUAUUUGGCAUUGUUUUCAUAUACAUAUUCACAUUGUUCUUUUAUUCUCAUUGGAAUUCUUUUAUUAUAUGCCCUUUUUACGUUGACUAUGCGCACCCAUCACCAUCAUCCACUGUGCCACUGCUGCUGAUUUGCG
This is a long non-coding RNA of Zeugodacus cucurbitae (melon fly), 1633 nucleotides long. RefSeq lists it as uncharacterized. The transcript has 2 exons. The record is from RefSeq and is a predicted model, not a curated record. Lineage: Eukaryota; Metazoa; Arthropoda; Insecta; Diptera; Tephritidae.